CCCAAAUUCAUGCAGUUAGGACCUGGCAGAGCUGCGCUUUGAACCCAGGCUGCCUGGCUCUAGAGUGUGUGCACGAAACUUCACUGCCAUAUGAACAAAACUGCAGGACAUAUGUUCUCAAAGCAAAUAAGCCUCCCAGAGAGGCUUUUCCUGAUGGCUUCAAGGACCUGCCCUAGCCUGGUCUGACUUCCCAGAGGGGAUCCAGUCCCAACAUUGGCCCUAUCUUUAGACCACAUUUCCAUCCCAUUCUCAGUGAAAACCCUGAGUCAUGACAGAAGACAACCAAUGCUGGAGAGAGGAGGUUUCAGGAGGACAACAGUCAGAAUACCCCCAAGACGUCCUUCUUUCCCUAAGGUCUCAAAAUCCUUGCCUCAAGAAGUUAUUCCUGAAGUCUAGCUUGAAUUCCUCCAGAUAGAGUUUAAACCAGACAAAC
This is a long non-coding RNA of Homo sapiens (human), 433 nucleotides long. RefSeq lists it as uncharacterized. The transcript is spliced from 3 exons. The record is from RefSeq and is a predicted model, not a curated record. Lineage: Eukaryota; Metazoa; Chordata; Mammalia; Primates; Hominidae.